AACGAACGUUAGCGGCGCGCCUAACACAUGCAAGUCGCACGAGAAAGGGCUUCGGCCCCGGUACAGUGGCGCACGGGUGAGUAACACGUGGGUAAUUUUCCUUCGAGUGGGGGAUAACGUUCCGAAAGGGACGCUAAUACCGCAUAAGACCACGACCUCGAAAGAGGAUGUGGUCAAAGCAGGCCUCUAUACAUAAGCUUGCGCUUGAAGAUAAGCCCGCGGCCCAUCAGCUAGUUGGUAGGGUAAUGGCCUACCAAGGCGAAGACGGGUAGCUGGUCUGAGAGGAUGAUCAGCCACACUGGAACUGAGACACGGUCCAGACUCCUACGGGAGGCAGCAGUGGGGAAUCUUGCGCAAUGGGCGAAAGCCUGACGCAGCGACGCCGCGUGAGUGAUGAAGGCCUUCGGGUUGUAAAGCUCUGUGGGGAGAGAAGAAUAAGUCGUAGUGAAUAUCUACGAUGAUGACGGUAUCUCCUUAGCAAGCACCGGCUAACUCUGUGCCAGCAGCCGCAGUAAGAC
Molecule: ribosomal RNA, 518 nt
Filed under: uncultured bacterium
Lineage: Bacteria
Description: bacterial SSU rRNA
Rfam family: Bacterial small subunit ribosomal RNA
Source: RNAcentral